This 30-nucleotide non-coding RNA is filed under the name Mus musculus (house mouse). The record is from RNAcentral. Lineage: Eukaryota; Metazoa; Chordata; Mammalia; Rodentia; Muridae.
CCAUCUACCAAGUUUGGUAUCACACGGUGG